AAAUGGUUUUUAUGUACUUCACUUCAAUGAAAAUGGCAAGGUUAUGUUCGAAAUUAUGGCAUCACUGUUUUAAAUUCGAAUAGGCACUAUUGAUUCAUGCACUGAUCGUUUUGGAAUUAUCAAUAUUCUCAAUAUUCGGGUCUGAAAAAGAAUUGAAAGAAGAAGAAGUUGGACACAGAAGAAUUAUGAACACCGGGGUUUUGGACCGAGCAGGGAUAUUUUUCUCGAGCGCUCGUCUUAAAAGAGAAUUGAAAGAAGCGCCCGAUACGAGUAUAUUCGUAAAUUGGAAUUAAAAACACGAAUUUUAAGACAGUUACCGUGAAAAUUGGUGCACGUUUUCGGAAAAGCCGCUCUCCUGAA
Long non-coding RNA from Bactrocera tryoni, 360 nucleotides. RefSeq lists it as uncharacterized. Lineage: Eukaryota; Metazoa; Arthropoda; Insecta; Diptera; Tephritidae. The transcript has 3 exons. The record is from RefSeq and is a predicted model, not a curated record.